GUAUUUUUAAAUUUAUUUUUUCAAAAUAAUGACAUUAGUAAAAAUUUUACAUAGCCUGUAUUGAAUUCACACAUUCAAAUGAGGCUUUACCAGUAAUGAUGGGGAUUAAUACAGAGCUAGUGUUUGGCAUUUGACUUUAUCUCAAAUGAGCUAACUGCUCAAUGAAUUACAGAAGACUCAUACUCUUUUUAUUUUUUCCUGGAAAUUAAAAAAGAAAAGCUUUACUAAAUAUUGACAUAUAUAUUUACUCCAAAUUUUACAUUUAGUGAAAUAAGAAUAUCUCUAGUAGCUCAGUUAACAUCAACAGAAAGCUUCAAAAGAUGAUUCUGAAAAUGGCAGGCAAAAUUUCUUUUUAUUGUAGGCAAUUACUUAAACUGGAAAUUUGGCUUUAUGCAUAAUAAGUCAUGUGGGUAAAACAUCCACAUUGCAGUUAGGUUUCCAGUAUCUAGCUUUUAUUUAUUUUUUAGCAAUGACAUUAACAAGAUUUUGCCAGGUUAUAAAAAUGAGGGCUUUCUUGAGAAUUACUUAUAGUUUCCGAGUUGAAUGGCAGAGCGCACGUAGACACAUCUGAAGGUGGAUGGCUGUAUCUCCCAGUACUGGACCGGGUUGCUGAAAAGACUCACACCCGAAUAAGAAGCCUUUUUGGUGUUGUGUCCAGGUGGGCAGAAGUCACUUGAUCCAACUACAGAGAUAUUGUUGUUAUGAAGGUAGACAACCUGGAUGUACUUAUGCUCUGCCAGCCCACCAGGUACUCUGGUAAGCUUGUUGUUGUCCAAGUGAAGCUCCCUCAGAUGAGGCGUGUUGGCCAGAGAGCCAUUGUCAACAGCAGAGAUGCUGUUGAAACUCAAUCCCAACUUAGCCAAAUUAUUCAGUCCUUUCAGGCUAGCUGCAUCAACUCUGCUGAUUUUGUUGCCAUCAAGAUGUAAUUCCGUAAGGGAAGGAGGAAGACCUUGAGGAAUGCUGGUGAUAUUGGUAUCAGCAAUGCGGAUGUAGGAGAGCUUCUUCAUUCCCUGGAAAGCCCCAUUUUCAAUUCCUGAGCUCUUCAGCGGAUUGGUGCCCAGUUCUAUGACAAUCAUCUGGUUCAGUCCAUUGAAAGUAACUUUUCGCACUUUGGUGAUCUCAUUCUCAUGGGCACGCAGCUCCUGAAGAGUUUUGGGCAUUUUUUCUGGCAAUUCCUUCAGCUGAUUCUUGGACAGAUAAAGUCGUUCCAACUUCACCAAAGGUGUAAAUGCUCCAGGACUAACUUUGCUAAUUUUAUUGUUGACAAGAAUCAAUGCGUGAAGGUUCUUCAGGUUCUUAAAGUCUCCAUCUUUGAUUUCGGUUAUUUUGUUGUUUUGCAGGUCUAGCAGAGUUGUGUCAGGGGGAAGAUCCUUUGGCACUUUGUCCAGACCCAAAUCAGAACACUGGACCACUCGAAGAUGGCAUUGACAGCGGAAGGGGCACACUGGGCCUAGGGAGGGCUCGAAGUCGCGGUCAUCAGGAACUUCUGGGCCUAUCCCAGAAGCCUCAUCUUCUAGCAUAAAGUCAAAUAAGCCUCUCUGUUGAAACGGUCCAGCCCAGGAAACUUGUGCAAGCAGAAGGAGGAUGAUAGUGGCCUUCAUGAUUUAUCUCAUGUAUUUUCACAACCAGGGAACCUUGCAAGAGAGUUGUAAAGAUUAAAUGAGAUAGUGGGCUUCUCUUCUGUGUCCCCUGGCUCAUCCAGGCAAGAUGCUGCUUUCUCCCUCUUCUCUGCUCCCAAAGCACGUUGCUCUUACCUCUUUUAAAGAACUUAUCACAUUAUAUUGCAAUUUGUUUUGCGUGCUUGGUCUGUCCCUCACUAGACGAUGUACUCCUUCAGGGCGUGUCUUAUUAUUCCUUGUUCUGUACCCG
RNAcentral lists this long non-coding RNA (1869 nucleotides) under Homo sapiens (human). Its description in RNAcentral is "LNC_000853". The record is from RNAcentral. Lineage: Eukaryota; Metazoa; Chordata; Mammalia; Primates; Hominidae.